GAUGAAGAACGCAGCGAAAUGCGAUAAGUAAUGUGAAUUGCAGAAUUCAGUGAAUCAUCGAAUCUUUGAACGCACAUUGCGCCCGCCAGUAUUCUGGCGGGCAUGCCUGUCCGAGCGUCAUUUCAACCAUCAAGCCCCCGGGCUUGUGUUGGGGACCUGCGGCUGCCCGCAGGCCCUGAAAACCAGUGGCGGGCUCGCUGUCACACCGAGCGUAGUAGCAAUCACCUCGCUCAGGGCGUGCUGCGGGUUCCGGCCGUUAAACCACCUUCAUAACCCAAGGUUGACCUCGGAUCAGGUAGGAAGACCCGCUGAACUUAAGCAUAUCAAUAAGCGGAGGA
This 338-nucleotide unclassified non-coding RNA is filed under the name soil metagenome. Its description in RNAcentral is "partial contains 5.8S ribosomal RNA, internal transcribed spacer 2, and large subunit ribosomal RNA". The stretch from base 1 to 120 matches the Rfam family "5.8S ribosomal RNA", at positions 35 to 154 of the family's 154-position model. The record is from RNAcentral.